GAUGAACGCUGGCGGCGUGCCUAAUACAUGCAAGUCGAGCGAACGGACGAGAAGCUUGCUUCUCUGAUGUUAGCGGCGGACGGGUGAGUAACACGUGGAUAACCUACCUAUAAGACUGGGAUAACUUCGGGAAACCGGAGCUAAUACCGGAUAAUAUUUUGAACCGCAUGGUUCAAAAGUGAAAGACGGUCUUGCUGUCACUUAUAGAUGGAUCCGCGCUGCAUUAGCUAGUUGGUAAGGUAACGGCUUACCAAGGCAACGAUGCAUAGCCGACCUGAGAGGGUGAUCGGCCACACUGGAACUGAGACACGGUCCAGACUCCUACGGGAGGCAGCAGUAGGGAAUCUUCCGCAAUGGGCGAAAGCCUGACGGAGCAACGCCGCGUGAGUGAUGAAGGUCUUCGGAUCGUAAAACUCUGUUAUUAGGGAAGAACAUAUGUGUAAGUAACUGUGCACAUCUUGACGGUACCUAAUCAGAAAGCCACGGCUAACUACGUGCCAGCAGCCGCGGUAAUACGUAGGUGGCAAGCGUUAUCUGGAAUUAUUGGGCGUAAAGCGCGCGUAGGCGGUUUUUUAAGUCUGAUGUGAAAGCCCGCGGCUCAACCGUGGAGGGUCAUUGGAAACUGGAAAACUUGAGUGCAGAAGAGGAAAGUGGAAUUCCAUGUGUAGCGGUGAAAUGCGCAGAGAUAUGGAGGAACACCAGUGGCGAAGGCGACUUUCUGGUCUGUAACUGACGCUGAUGUGCGAAAGCGUGGGGAUCAAACAGGAUUAGAUACCCUGGUAGUCCACGCCGUAAACGAUGAGUGCUAAGUGUUAGGGGGUUUCCGCCCCUUAGUGCUGCAGCUAACGCAUUAAGCACUCCGCCUGGGGAGUACGACCGCAAGGUUGAAACUCAAAGGAAUUGACGGGGACCCGCACAAGCGGUGGAGCAUGUGGCUUAAUUCGAAGCAACGCGAAGAACCUUACCAAAUCUUGACAUCCUUUGACAACUCUAGAGAUAGAGCUUUCCCCUUCGGGGGACAAAGUGACAGGUGGUGCAUGGUUGUCGUCAGCUCGUGUCGUGAGAUGUUGGGUUAAGUCCCGCAACGAGCGCAACCCUUAAGCUUAGUUGCCAUCAUUAAGUUGGGCACUCUAAGUUGACUGCCGGUGACAAACCGGAGGAAGGUGGGGAUGACGUCAAAUCAUCAUGCCCCUUAUGAUUUGGGCUACACACGUGCUACAAUGGACAAUACAAAGGGCAGCGAAACCGUGAGGUCAAGCAAAUCCCAUAAAGUUGUUCUCAGUUCGGAUUGUAGUCUGCAACUCGACUACAUGAAGCUGGAAUCGCUAGUAAUCGUAGAUCAGCAUGCUACGGUGAAUACGUUCCCGGGUCU
This 1372-nucleotide ribosomal RNA is filed under the name uncultured bacterium. RNAcentral's name for it is "bacterial SSU rRNA". It matches the Rfam family "Bacterial small subunit ribosomal RNA", at positions 28 to 1381 of the family's 1533-position model. The record is from RNAcentral.